GUCCGGAUUUCUUAAUUUUGUUCCUCAUUCCUUUUGCUAAUCCCUUGUGGCAUAGAACACUUGACCUGUCCACUGUGACUGGCAUGGAUUUGGCUUUCACUGGUAGCCUGGUAACAUAUAAGUCAGUAUUAUAAAACACUUUCAGUUCUCACAUCAGCUAUUUCUAAAGGUCAAAGAGAGGGGUAGUCAGGUUCUAAUGAGUGUUUCUUUAGGUUCAUGGUUCAGAAGAAGGGUCAAACUACCACCAGGGCCAUAAAACUACUACUGGAAAUGCCCACAACUCCUAUGAAAGCCUUGUCAAAUAGAGCCUGUUAGGUUUGUGGUACAGAAGAAGGGUCAGACUACCACCAGGGCCAUAAAACUACUACUGAAAAUGCCCACAACUCCUACGAAAGCCUUGUCAAAUAGAGCCUGUUAGGUUUGCGGUCCAGAAGAAGGGUCAAACUACCACCAGGAACUCCUAUGAAAGCCUUGUCAAAUAUGUGUUCUUGGGCAAUGAAAUGUCUAAUAAUACAACCCAUAGUCCCAGGUCUUUCUCUGUCUCUGUGGUGGAUAGUGGAGCAUUUCCCAUGUGGUAUUGGUGUGCUGGAUAUCUCCUCCCAAGGUGCAGGACUUUACAUUUUUCUUCACUGCAUUGUAGCAGCCACUUUUUGUUUCAUUCCUGUAGCUUGGUGAGGUCUUCUGGUAGGAAAUCCAGUCAAGGGGUUAAUAGACUUGAUAUCACUGUUCAUUUCUGUACAUGUAUAGAGCUAUGAUGCCCUGUUUUUUCUCUAAUAAUUUCCUUGGGCUCAUCCUUUGUAUAUUCAGGUAUCUUCAGUAAAUAUUAUUAUUAUCAUUAUUAUUUUUACAGUAAAGGAAUCACCUCAAAGGCAAAAAAUAUUGAGAUAAAAAGAAAUCCUUCUAAUCACUGUGCCUUUGGAAAAGUUAAAAAGAAGAAAUGUCUGGAUAAGCUCCUCUAAUAUUAAUAAUUCUCCUCCUGCAUGUGUCUCUAGUGUAAAGGAAUCACAUCACAGGCAAAAAAAAGAAAGAAAAAAAAAUGAGUAAAAAAAAUCCUGCUAAUCCCUUCUAUGAAAAAGAGUUAAGAGGAAGAAACGUCUUGAAAACCUCCUCUAAUAUUAAUCAUUCUCCUCCUGCAUGUGUCUCUAGUGUAAAGAAAUCACAUCACAGGCAAAAAAAAGAAAAAAAAGAAAAAUGAGUAAAAAAAAAUCCUGCUAAUCCCUUCUAUGAAAAAGAGUUAAGAGGAAGAAACGUCUGGAAAACCUCCUCUAAUAUGAAUCAUUCUCCUCCUGCAUGUGUCUCUAGUGUAAAGGAAUCACAUCACAGGCAAAAAAAAAGAAAAA
This is a long non-coding RNA of Eriocheir sinensis (Chinese mitten crab), 1340 nucleotides long. RefSeq lists it as uncharacterized. The record is from RefSeq and is a predicted model, not a curated record. The transcript has 2 exons. NCBI's taxonomy places the organism in Eukaryota, Metazoa, Arthropoda, Malacostraca, Decapoda, Varunidae.